AGUUACAGCCAUGCCACCCUGAACAAGCCUGAUCCCGGCUGAUCUUGGAAGCUAAGCAGGGUCGGGCCUGGUUAGUGUUUGGAUGGGAGACCACCUAGGAAGACCAGGUGCUGUAGGCG
This is a ribosomal RNA of Pteropus vampyrus (large flying fox), 119 nucleotides long. NCBI's taxonomy places the organism in Eukaryota, Metazoa, Chordata, Mammalia, Chiroptera, Pteropodidae. The record is from Ensembl.